UUUCUUAAGAAUUCAGAAUGUUU
RNAcentral lists this small nuclear RNA (23 nucleotides) under Arabidopsis thaliana (thale cress). Its description in RNAcentral is "snRNA_11885". Lineage: Eukaryota; Viridiplantae; Streptophyta; Magnoliopsida; Brassicales; Brassicaceae. The record is from RNAcentral.